GACGAACGCUGGCGGCGUGCUUAACACAUGCAAGUCGAACGGAAAGGCCCUGCUUUUGUGGGGUGCUCGAGUGGCGAACGGGUGAGUAACACGUGAGUAACCUGCCCUUGACUUUGGGAUAACUUCUGGAAACUGGGGCUAAUACCGGAUAGGUUCUCCUGCUGCAUGGUGGGGGUUGGAAAGUUUUGGCGGUUGGGGCUGGACUCGCGGCUUAUCAGCUUGUUGGUGGGGUAGUGGCUUACCAAGGCUUUGACGGGUAGCCGGCCUGAGAGGGUGACCGGCCACAUUGGGACUGAGAUACGGCCCAGACUCCUACGGGAGGCAGCAGUGGGGAAUAUUGCACAAUGGGCGGAAGCCUGAUGCAGCAACGCAGCGUGCGGGAUGACGGCCUUCGGGUUGUAAACCGCUUUCGCCUGUGACGAAGCGUGAGUGACGGUAAUGGGUAAAGAAGCACCGGCUAACUACGUG
Molecule: ribosomal RNA, 468 nt
Filed under: uncultured bacterium
Lineage: Bacteria
Description: partial 16S ribosomal RNA
Rfam family: Bacterial small subunit ribosomal RNA
Source: RNAcentral